AUGAACGCUGGCGGCGUGCCUAAUCCCUGCAAGUCGAGCGAACGGACGAGAAGCUUGCUUCUCUGAUGUUAGCGGCGGACGGGUGAGUAACACGUGGGUAACCUACCUAUAAGACUGGGAUAACUUCGGGAAACCGGAGCUAAUACCGGAUAAUAUUUUGAACCGCAUGGUUCAAAAGUGAAAGACGGUCUUGCUGUCACUUAUAGAUGGAUCCGCGCUGCAUUAGCUAGUUGGUAAGGUAACGGCUUACCAAGGCAACGAUGCAUAGCCGACCUGAGAGGGUGAUCGGCCACACUGGAACUGAGACACGGUCCAGACUCCUACGGGAGGCAGCAGUAGGGAAUCUUCCGCAAUGGGCGAAAGCCUGACGGAGCAACGCCGCGUGAGUGAUGAAGGUCUUCGGAUCGUAAAACUCUGUUAUUAGGGAAGAACAUAUGUGUAAGUAACUGUGCACAUCUUGACGGUACCUAAUCAGAAAGCCACGGCUAACUACGUG
RNAcentral lists this ribosomal RNA (496 nucleotides) under uncultured bacterium. Its description in RNAcentral is "partial 16S ribosomal RNA". It matches the Rfam family "Bacterial small subunit ribosomal RNA", at positions 29 to 507 of the family's 1533-position model. The record is from RNAcentral.